CCCAUCUCUCGUCACAGUGACCCCCACGGUCGCCUGAGGGACGGGUCCCUGAGGCGUGGCAAAGCAGGAGCCCCCCGUGGCAGCGUGUGUGUGUGGAAGCUCCAAGGCUCCGGACUGACCUCUCCAGGGGGUCGACAGUUCGGUCUCCGAAUUCUAGGAGUCGCGGAGGGCGGACCAGGAUGAAGAAACCACAGGCGGAAUCGCGGGAAGCAGCGCCGCAUCCCAGCCUCAGGCCUGCCCGCACCGUUUGCGGGAUCAAGACGACAACACCACACCUGUGGACAUUUUUUAAAGGAGUCCCAGCCUGACUUCUCGGAGUCAUGCAUAAGUCGGCCUGACUAAUGCAAGCUAUCUUUCCCCCACAAAGCCAAAACGGAAAAUUGUUCCCGCCUUUUCAGGACAGCAGUGAUGAGCAGCAGGAUGCCCUGAGCUUUGAGACCUAGACAGGGCCCUGGGAGGCCCAGGUCAAAGGGAGGCAAUGAGCUCAUGAACCGGGAAUUUUUGGCUGACACCCUCCCCUGGGGUCUCAGUUUUCUGUGCCCCAGCAACCCCCUCCACACCUCACCAGAUUGAAUACCCAGCCCCAGGGGACCUGAUUUUUGGCCACACCAUCCAAUCCAUAAUCGGAGCAGAAGGGCAGUCCCGAGUGCCCACCUCAUGGUCUGAAGGGCCCCCUCCUCCAUCGAGACCCGAACAUGUCAGGGUCCUGUGCUGCUUGUCCCACGCAGCCUCCUUCCCAGGCCGCUACUGGCUCUGCCCUCACCAUUUUCCUGUGUGGCUGCGGCCUGACAGCCCUGACAUUGCGGUGCGCCAGCUGGACACUAGAAUGCACAUGCGCCAGGCGGGAGUCACCAGGUGCAAGUGCUGAGCCGUGACUCGCGUCACAGUGACCACCACCAUUGCCUGGGGACGGAUCCUAGCGGCUUGGUGGAGCAGGAGCCCUCUUUGGCAGUGUGUCAGCCUUCGGCUGGGCCCCUCCUCACCGGGGGAUUGUCGUCAUGGUCCUAGGAGUCAGGCAGGGCCAAACCAAGCUGAAGAAACGUCAGACGGGUCCCCAAGGAUACACUGCGAGAUCCCUAAGGAUGUACCACGAGAUCCCUAAGGAUCCCCACAAUGCAUCAGGCUUGCCUAGACGGCGUGAGGAUGCGUCUUUUUGACAGCUGUCCCCCCCUCCCCCAUUUCGACAUAUGGCCUGCCUGUGUGCCCUGGGGCUGCUCUCUCCCCAGAGGCUGUGUUUCUGUGCGAGUGUUGGAUACCUCCGUGUGUGUGUGUGUGUGUGUGUGUGUGUGUGUGUGUUUGGUGAAAUGAAUGUGGCUUGUGCAGUUGAGCACGGUUUCCCUGUAGUCCACCUACCUUCUGGUGCAUCUCUCUCUUUGGCUCUACUUGGGUUGUGGGGCCCCAUGUCCUUAGUUUUGCUCUUGGUUCCUAAAACCUAGGUGAAGUGGGGGGCUGUCCCAGACCCGCAGGCCUCCAAAUCACCGGGGGCCACUCUUUUAGAAAAAAGAACGGCGCACCACACCCAAGAACAGACAUCUCGCAGGGGUCCAUGGUCCUGUGGCACACCCAGGGUCAGACCCUAGCCGUCCCUGCCUCAGGACCCCCUUGAGCCCAUUUCAAAUUCGGUUGCCAGCAGUGCAGGAGCUUCAGGAGGUGAUGCGGGCACUCCUUCAUCCUCUUUGGAUUUUCACAGCACUACAUUUGGUAAUUUUUUUUUUUUGAUGAUACCAAAUAUACAGGCAU
Sapajus apella (tufted capuchin) is the source of this 1740-nucleotide RNA transcript. It is a transcript of the gene named protein FAM27L-like, with no coding region annotated. The record is from RefSeq and is a predicted model, not a curated record. The transcript has 2 exons. Lineage: Eukaryota; Metazoa; Chordata; Mammalia; Primates; Cebidae.